AUGACCCUUGGCAAAGCUCUUGUGUCUUCUUCCUUGGUGUAUGUGUCCAUGUGUGUGUGUGUGUGUGUGUGUGUGUGUGUGUUCUUGUGUGUUGUGAGAAACCAUGAGAGAAGAGAGAGUAAUGAGAGGAAGAAGAAGCGGCGUUGUGAGGAGGCAGUGCCAACAUGGGCAAGGUCUCAUUUGGCAGAUGUCGCCGCCCUCCGACACCGGUGUGUGGGUGGGGGUUGCCGGCUGGCUACUGCCAAAGGAAAUUUGCCCCAGAAUUCAUCUGCACAAGCACAGACGGGAGAAAAGAAUAUGGGUCUCAAGCAUCAUAAUAACAGAAGUCGUCUUACAUUCACGCUCUCUAUUCUUUGUGUUUCAUUCUUGAAGAGUGAAAGUUGUGCAGCAGAAGUCCAUUGA
Molecule: ribosomal RNA, 402 nt
Filed under: Triticum aestivum (bread wheat)
Lineage: Eukaryota; Viridiplantae; Streptophyta; Magnoliopsida; Poales; Poaceae
Description: partial small subunit ribosomal RNA
Source: RNAcentral